This 683-nucleotide ribosomal RNA is filed under the name Rhodobacteraceae bacterium Pbc-conty1. RNAcentral describes it as "bacterial SSU rRNA". It matches the Rfam family "Bacterial small subunit ribosomal RNA", at positions 17 to 745 of the family's 1533-position model. The record is from RNAcentral. Lineage: Bacteria; Pseudomonadati; Pseudomonadota; Alphaproteobacteria; Rhodobacterales; Paracoccaceae.
ACCUGGCUCAGAACGAACGCUGGCGGCAGGCCUAACACAUGCAAGUCGAGCGCUCUCUUCGGAGGGAGCGGCGGACGGGUGAGUAACGCGUGGGAAUAUGCCCUUCUCUGCGGAAUAGCCACUGGAAACGGUGAGUAAUACCGCAUACGCCCUUCGGGGGAAAGAUUUAUCGGAGAAGGAUUAGCCCGCGUUAGAUUAGGUAGUUGGUGGGGUAAUGGCCUACCAAGCCUACGAUCUAUAGCUGGUUUUAGAGGAUGAUCAGCCACACUGGGACUGAGACACGGCCCAGACUCCUACGGGAGGCAGCAGUGAGGAAUCUUAGACAAUGGGCGCAAGCCUGAUCUAGCCAUGCCGCGUGUGUGAUGAAGGCCUUAGGGUCGUAAAGCACUUUCGCCAGAGAUGAUAAUGACAGUAUCUGGUAAAGAAACCCCGGCUAACUCCGUGCCAGCAGCCGCGGUAAUACGGAGGGGGUUAGCGUUGUUCGGAAUUACUGGGCGUAAAGCGCACGUAGGCGGAUCAGAAAGUUGGGGGUGAAAUCCCGGGGCUCAACCCCGGAACUGCCUCCAAAACUCCUGGUCUUGAGUUCGAGAGAGGUGAGUGGAAUUCCGAGUGUAGAGGUGAAAUUCGUAGAUAUUCGGAGGAACACCAGUGGCGGAAGGCGUCUCACUGGCUCGAUACUGACG